GCGAUCAUACCGGCACUAAUGCACCGGAUCCCAUCAGAACUCCGAAGUUAAGCGUGCUUGGGCGAGAGCUGUACUAGGAUGGGUGACCCCCUGGGAUGUCCUCGUGUUGCACCU
This 114-nucleotide ribosomal RNA is filed under the name Zingiber officinale. Lineage: Eukaryota; Viridiplantae; Streptophyta; Magnoliopsida; Zingiberales; Zingiberaceae. The record is from RNAcentral.